CCUACGGGAGGCAGCAGUGAGGAAUAUUGGUCAAUGGACGAGAGUCUGAACCAGCCAAGUAGCGUGAAGGAUGACUGCCCUAUGUGUUGUAAACUUCUUUUAUAUGGGAGUAACACGCCUUACUUCUAGGGUUUUACGUGUACCGUAUGUAUAUGGACCCGCUAAUUCCGUGCCAGCAGCCGCGGUAGUACGGAAGGUUCGGGCGUUAUCCGGAUUGAUUGGGUGUAAAGGGAGCGUAGGCCGCAUGUCAGGCGUGCUGUGAACUGUCCGGGCUCAACCCGGGCCUUGCAGCGCGAACGGGCGUGCUGGAGUCAGCGGAGAGCAGGCGGAAUUCGUCGUGUAGCGGUGAAAUGCU
Molecule: ribosomal RNA, 355 nt
Filed under: uncultured bacterium
Lineage: Bacteria
Description: partial 16S ribosomal RNA
Rfam family: Bacterial small subunit ribosomal RNA
Source: RNAcentral